GGUUAAGCGACUAAGCGUACACGGUGGAUGCCCUGGCAGUCAGAGGCGAUGAAGGGCGUACUAAUCUGCGAUAAGCGCCGGUAAGGUGAUAUGAACCGUUAUAACCGGCGAUACCCGAAUGGGGAAACCCAGUGUGAUUCGUCACACUAUCAUUAACUGAAUCCAUAGGUUAAUGAGGCGAACCGGGGGAACUGAAACAUCUAAGUACCCCGAGGAAAAGAAAUCAACCGAGAUUCCCCCAGUAGCGGCGAGCGAACGGGGAGGAGCCCAGAGCCUGAAUCAGCAUGUGUGUUAGUGGAAGCGUCUGGAAAGGCGCGCGAUACAGGGUGACAGCCCCGUACACAAAAGCGCAUGUGCUGUGAGCUCGAUGAGUAGGGCGGGACACGUGGUAUCCUGUCUGAAUAUGGGGGGACCAUCCUCCAAGGCUAAAUACUCCUGACUGACCGAUAGUGAACCAGUACCGUGAGGGAAAGGCGAAAAGAACCCCGGCGAGGGGAGUGAAAAAGAACCUGAAACCGUGUACGUACAAGCAGUGGGAGCACCCUUUGGGUGUGACUGCGUACCUUUUGUAUAAUGGGUCAGCGACUUAUAUUCUGUAGCAAGGUUAACCGAAUAGGGGAGCCGGAGGGAAACCGAGUCUUAACCGGGCGUUAAGUUGCAGGGUAUAGACCCGAAACCCGGUGAUCUAGCCAUGGGCAGGUUGAAGGUUGGGUAACACUAACUGGAGGACCGAACCGACUAAUGUUGAAAAAUUAGCGGAUGACCUGUGGCUGGGGGUGAAAGGCCAAUCAAACCGGGAGAUAGCUGGUUCUCCCCGAAAGCUAUUUAGGUAGCGCCUCGUGAAUUCAUCUCCGGGGGUAGAGCACUGUUUCGGCUAGGGGGCCAUCCCGGCUUACCAACCCGAUGCAAACUGCGAAUACCGGAGAAUGUUAUCACGGGAGACACACGGCGGGUGCUAACGUCCGUCGUGAAGAGGGAAACAACCCAGACCGCCAGCUAAGGUCCCAAAGUCAUGGUUAAGUGGGAAACGAUGUGGGAAGGCCCAGACAGCCAGGAUGUUGGCUUAGAAGCAGCCAUCAUUUAAAGAAAGCGUAAUAGCUCACUGGUCGAGUCGGCCUGCGCGGAAGAUGUAACGGGGCUAAACCAUGCACCGAAGCUGCGGCAGCGACGCUUAUGCGUUGUUGGGUAGGGGAGCGUUCUGUAAGCCUGCGAAGGUGGCCUGUGAGGGUUGCUGGAGGUAUCAGAAGUGCGAAUGCUGACAUAAGUAACGAUAAAGCGGGUGAAAAGCCCGCUCGCCGGAAGACCAAGGGUUCCUGUCCAACGUUAAUCGGGGCAGGGUGAGUCGACCCCUAAGGCGAGGCCGAAAGGCGUAGUCGAUGGGAAACGGGUUAAUAUUCCCGUACUUGGUGUUACUGCGAAGGGGGGACGGAGAAGGCUAUGUUGGCCGGGCGACGGUUGUCCCGGUUUAAGCGUGUAGGUGUGUGUUCCAGGUAAAUCCGGUUCACUUUAACACUGAGGCGUGACGACGAGGCACUACGGUGCUGAAGCAACAAAUGCCCUGCUUCCAGGAAAAGCCUCUAAGCAUCAGGUAACAUCAAAUCGUACCCCAAACCGACACAGGUGGUCAGGUAGAGAAUACCAAGGCGCUUGAGAGAACUCGGGUGAAGGAACUAGGCAAAAUGGUGCCGUAACUUCGGGAGAAGGCACGCUGACACGUAGGUGAAGUGAUUUACUCAUGGAGCUGAAGUCAGUCGAAGAUACCAGCUGGCUGCAACUGUUUAUUAAAAACACAGCACUGUGCAAACACGAAAGUGGACGUAUACGGUGUGACGCCUGCCCGGUGCCGGAAGGUUAAUUGAUGGGGUCAGCGCAAGCGAAGCUCCUGAUCGAAGCCCCGGUAAACGGCGGCCGUAACUAUAACGGUCCUAAGGUAGCGAAAUUCCUUGUCGGGUAAGUUCCGACCUGCACGAAUGGCGUAAUGAUGGCCAGGCUGUCUCCACCCGAGACUCAGUGAAAUUGAACUCGCUGUGAAGAUGCAGUGUACCCGCGGCAAGACGGAAAGACCCCGUGAACCUUUACUAUAGCUUGACACUGAACAUUGAGCCUUGAUGUGUAGGAUAGGUGGGAGGCUUUGAAGUGUGGACGCCAGUCUGCAUGGAGCCGACCUUGAAAUACCACCCUUUAAUGUUUGAUGUUCUAACGUGGACCCGUUACCCGGGUUGCGGACAGUGUCUGGUGGGUAGUUUGACUGGGGCGGUCUCCUCCUAAAGAGUAACGGAGGAGCACGAAGGUUGGCUAAUCCUGGUCGGACAUCAGGAGGUUAGUGCAAUGGCAUAAGCCAGCUUGACUGCGAGCGUGACGGCGCGAGCAGGUGCGAAAGCAGGUCAUAGUGAUCCGGUGGUUCUGAAUGGAAGGGCCAUCGCUCAACGGAUAAAAGGUACUCCGGGGAUAACAGGCUGAUACCGCCCAAGAGUUCAUAUCGACGGCGGUGUUUGGCACCUCGAUGUCGGCUCAUCACAUCCUGGGGCUGAAGUAGGUCCCAAGGGUAUGGCUGUUCGCCAUUUAAAGUGGUACGCGAGCUGGGUUUAGAACGUCGUGAGACAGUUCGGUCCCUAUCUGCCGUGGGCGCUGGAGAACUGAGGGGGGCUGCUCCUAGUACGAGAGGACCGGAGUGGACGCAUCACUGGUGUUCGGGUUGUCAUGCCAAUGGCACUGCCCGGUAGCUAAAUGCGGAAGAGAUAAGUGCUGAAAGCAUCUAAGCACGAAACUUGCCCCGA
RNAcentral lists this ribosomal RNA (2777 nucleotides) under Salmonella enterica. RNAcentral's name for it is "partial 23S ribosomal RNA". It matches the Rfam family "Bacterial large subunit ribosomal RNA". The record is from RNAcentral. Lineage: Bacteria; Pseudomonadati; Pseudomonadota; Gammaproteobacteria; Enterobacterales; Enterobacteriaceae.